This 585-nucleotide ribosomal RNA is filed under the name uncultured bacterium. RNAcentral's name for it is "partial 16S ribosomal RNA". It matches the Rfam family "Bacterial small subunit ribosomal RNA", at positions 355 to 1375 of the family's 1533-position model. The record is from RNAcentral.
UGGGGAAUUUUGGACAAUGGGCGAAAGCCUGAUCCAGCAAUGCCGCGUGUGUGAAGAAGGCCUUCGGGUUGUAAAGCACUUUUGUCCGGAAAGAAAUCCUUGGCUCUAAUACAGUCGGGGGAUGACGGUACCGGAAGAAUAAGCACCGGCUAACUACGUGCCAGCAGCCGCGGUAAUACGUAGGGUGCAAGCGUUAAUCGGAAUUACUGGGCGUAAAGCGUGCGCAGGCGGUUUGCUAAGACCGAUGUGAAAUCCCCGGGCUCAACCUGGGAACUGCAUUGGUGACUGGCAGGCUAGAGUAUGGCAGAGGGGGGUAGAAUUCCACGUGUAGCAGUGAAAUGCGUAGAGAUGUGGAGGAAUACCGCUGGCGAAGGCAGCCCCCUGGGCCAAUACUGACGCUCAUGCACGAAAGCGUGGGGAGCAAACAGGAUUAGAUACCCUGGUAGUCCACGCCCUAAACGAUGUCAACUAGUUGUUGGGGAUUCAUUUCCUUAGUAACGUAGCUAACGCGUGAAGUUGACCGCCUGGGGAGUACGGUCGCAAGAUUAAAACUCAAAUGAAUUGACGGGGUCAUAGCUGUUUCCU